GAUGAAGAACGCAGCGAAAUGCGAUAAGUAAUGUGAAUUGCAGAAUUCAGUGAAUUAUCGAAUCUUUGAACGCACAUUGCGCCCGCCAGUAUUCUGGCGGGCAUGCCUGUUCGAGCGUCAUUACAACCCUCAGGCCCCCGGGCCUGGCGUUGGGGAUCGGCGGAGCCCCCCGUGGGCACACGCCGUCCCCCAAAUACAGUGGCGGUCCCGCCGCAGCUUCCAUCGCGUAGUAGCUAACACCUCGCGACUGGAGAGCGGCGCGGCCACGCCGUAAAACACCCAACUCUUCUGAAGUUGACCUCGAAUCAGGUAGGAAUACCCGCUGAACUUAAGCAUAUCAAUAAGCGGAGGA
This 352-nucleotide unclassified non-coding RNA is filed under the name soil metagenome. RNAcentral describes it as "partial contains 5.8S ribosomal RNA, internal transcribed spacer 2, and large subunit ribosomal RNA". The stretch from base 1 to 120 matches the Rfam family "5.8S ribosomal RNA", at positions 35 to 154 of the family's 154-position model. The record is from RNAcentral.